UACGUAGGGUGCGAGCGUUGUCCGGAAUUAUUGGGCGUAAAGAGCUCGUAGGCGGUCUGUUGCGUCCGCUGUGAAAACUCGGGGCUUAACCCCGAGCCUGCAGUGGAUACGGGCAGACUAGAGGUAGGUAGGGGAGAGUGGAAUUCCCGGUGUAGCGGUGAAAUGCGCAGAUAUCGGGAGGAACACCGGUGGCGAAGGCGGUUCUCUGGGCCUUACCUGACGCUGAGGCGCGAAAGCUAGGGGAGCGAACAGG
This 253-nucleotide ribosomal RNA is filed under the name uncultured bacterium. RNAcentral describes it as "partial 16S ribosomal RNA". It matches the Rfam family "Bacterial small subunit ribosomal RNA", at positions 524 to 776 of the family's 1533-position model. The record is from RNAcentral.